UUGAAAGAAAAUAAACAUCAGUGAUAUACUCUAAGUACAACAUAAAAAGUACUUAACCCAUUAGAUCUUCCCUUUGAAGAAUGCAGAAAGGACACAAAACACCAUUCUUGUCUAUUCAAGAAGGUAAAAGUUUUGCAACAGGACACAGGAAUUUUUGCCAACAUAGCAAUCUGGAGGCUUUGAAUACAUUUGAAAGACAGAUCAUUCCCAGCAAAAAGGACAGGGUGUGAAAUGUUGGCCAAUCAACAAUCUGGAGACUUUGAAGUUUUUAUUUUCUAAGUAACCCACCAUACCUACCAUAAAUGGACAAAGAAGAUUAUAAUUAACCACCAUUAAAUCCAUGGACAUCAAAAAAUGCGGUAUUCUUUUAACUCAUCUUAUUUUUAGCUCUACUUGUCAGAGACCAGAAGAGCUUUUGCGAUAGUAAUGCGUCCGUCCGUCUGUCUGGCAGUCUAGCUGUCUCUCUGUCUGUCCGUCUGUAAACAAUUAUUCAAAACGCUACUCCUCCUACAGUUUUGGUCUGAUUUAAAUAUAACUUGGCACACAAUAAGACUA
Long non-coding RNA from Saccostrea cuccullata (small rock oyster), 555 nucleotides. RefSeq lists it as uncharacterized. Lineage: Eukaryota; Metazoa; Mollusca; Bivalvia; Ostreida; Ostreidae. The record is from RefSeq and is a predicted model, not a curated record. The transcript is spliced from 3 exons.